UCUUCAUGUAAGAUAGAGGCUGGGACAAGG
Molecule: non-coding RNA, 30 nt
Filed under: Rattus norvegicus (Norway rat)
Lineage: Eukaryota; Metazoa; Chordata; Mammalia; Rodentia; Muridae
Source: RNAcentral